Molecule: transfer RNA, 79 nt
Filed under: Bacteroidia bacterium
Lineage: Bacteria; Pseudomonadati; Bacteroidota; Bacteroidia
Description: tRNA-His
Rfam family: tRNA
About the family: Transfer RNA (tRNA) molecules are approximately 80 nucleotides in length. Their secondary structure includes four short double-helical elements and three loops (D, anti-codon, and T loops). Further hydrogen bonds mediate the characteristic L-shaped molecular structure. tRNAs have two regions of fundamental functional importance: the anti-codon, which is responsible for specific mRNA codon recognition, and the 3' end, to which the tRNAs corresponding amino acid is attached (by aminoacyl-tRNA synthetases). tRNAs cope with the degeneracy of the genetic code in two manners: having more than one tRNA (with a specific anti-codon) for a particular amino acid; and 'wobble' base-pairing, i.e. permitting non-standard base-pairing at the 3rd anti-codon position.
Source: RNAcentral
GUGACUAUAGCUCAGCUGGUUAGAGCAUCAGAUUGUGGUUCUGAGGGUCGUGGGUUCGAAUCCCAUUAGUCACCCACCA